AAUAUAACCACCACCACAGGAACUGCCCUGCUCUAGGAUGUGUACCCCGAUUCAGAAUCGAGUUUUAGGUUCUCUUUCCAGGUCAAAUGAUAUCUUCUGAUAGAGUACCUUCCGGAUAAAUAUGCUUCGUCACAUCCCACAAUACAAGCUACGCUUUACAAGCUUCGACUCAGCUCCUGGUCUCUUUACUCGGAAUCCCCACACUUACUUAAAAGAAUCAUGUAAAACACUUCAGAAAACAACAUUCCCCCUAAAAAAGAGAGACUUAUUCAAGGGAGUGUGCUAUUUCUAAUGCAUGCCCUGUCUUAAAAAGUCCAACUCAACCUCAAUUCCCAAAAAGAGCUUCAGUGGUCUCCCAUUCGGCGACUUGGUAUUUGCUUAUUUUCUAAGUGUACUGAUUAAAUAAAAAGAAAUGCAAAUAAUAAAUGGCAAUUAAAUAACAAGCCUAAAAUAAAUUUUUAAAAAAAUACAUGGUCUGGUGGGUUUUAGACAAGACGCUAGAGAAAGGUGAGUUCACAUUCCCUUCUGUACCAGUUUCUACAAGAAGUGGGCAACACUGCCCUCUAGAGGACAUGUUACGUUAUGUCCGUUAGUUCGUUUGGUGCGAAAGUGACCCAAGAUGCGUUGAGCAAUAUACAUUCUUUUGCUCCUGAGAUACAGUCUGCCCUUGACCUUCUGUAAAUGACUCUGAAGACCACGAAAUCCCCCGAGAGGCCGUGAGACUUCACAAAGUCAUAUUGCAGGGGAUCAGAAAUAAACGUUUGUUGCAGUGGUUAUUAAACCGUCGUGUGCACCACAAUCAUCCACAGGGCUUGUUGAACGAGGGUUGCUAGACUCCACAUCCAGAGUCUCUGAUCCCAUAAAUCAGAGGUGGAAUCAACAACGUGCUUCCUGACAGGUUCCCCAGGUGACGCUGAUUCUGCAGGUCAGGGACCACACCGUGAGCUAGGAGCUUGGUGGGACUGAAUAGCUCAGCACAGGGUGAGCUGUUACUAUCUGUGCUACAGAAGCCUAGUCUCAGGGAGAUGAGGUGGCUGCUGUUAGUCACUUCAUCUUUCUCAGCCUCAGCGUCUUCAUGAAGGGGGAGAGACUUUGCAGGCUGUUUA
Molecule: long non-coding RNA, 1106 nt
Organism: Tupaia belangeri chinensis (Chinese tree shrew)
Lineage: Eukaryota; Metazoa; Chordata; Mammalia; Scandentia; Tupaiidae
Exons: 2
Source: RefSeq, a predicted model, not a curated record